GCAUUGGUGGUUCAGUGGUAGAAUUCUCCCCUUCCAUGAAGGAGACCUGGGUUUGAUUCUGGCCAAUGCA
RNAcentral lists this transfer RNA (70 nucleotides) under Loxodonta africana (African savanna elephant). It matches the Rfam family "tRNA". From Rfam's summary of the family: Transfer RNA (tRNA) molecules are approximately 80 nucleotides in length. Their secondary structure includes four short double-helical elements and three loops (D, anti-codon, and T loops). Further hydrogen bonds mediate the characteristic L-shaped molecular structure. tRNAs have two regions of fundamental functional importance: the anti-codon, which is responsible for specific mRNA codon recognition, and the 3' end, to which the tRNAs corresponding amino acid is attached (by aminoacyl-tRNA synthetases). tRNAs cope with the degeneracy of the genetic code in two manners: having more than one tRNA (with a specific anti-codon) for a particular amino acid; and 'wobble' base-pairing, i.e. permitting non-standard base-pairing at the 3rd anti-codon position. Lineage: Eukaryota; Metazoa; Chordata; Mammalia; Proboscidea; Elephantidae. The record is from Rfam by way of RNAcentral.